Molecule: small nuclear RNA, 107 nt
Filed under: Capra hircus (goat)
Lineage: Eukaryota; Metazoa; Chordata; Mammalia; Artiodactyla; Bovidae
Source: RNAcentral
GUGCUCGCUUUGGCAGCACAUAUACUAAAAUUGGAAUGAUACAGAGAAGAUUAGCAUGGCCCCUGUGCAAGGAUGACAUGCAAAUUUGUGAAGCGUUCCAUAUUUUU